GACGAACGCUGGCGGCGUGCUUAACACAUGCAAGUCGAACGGUGAAGCGCCUUCCUUUUUGGUGGGUGUGGAUGAGUGGCGAACUGGUGAGUAACACGUUAGUAACCUGCCCCCUUUUUCUGGAUAACCGCAUGAAAGUGUGUCUAAUACGGGAUAUUCUGCGUCUUUCGCAUGAUUGGUCUGGGAAAAAUAUUGUUUAGGUGGGGGAUGGGCUCGCGGCCUAUCAGCUUGUUGGGGGGUUGAUGGCCUACCAAGGCGGUGACGGGUAGCCGGCCUGGGAGGGUGGACGGCAACACUGGGAAGGCGACACGGACAAGACUCCUACGGGAGGCAGCAGUGGGGAUUAUAGCACAAUGGGAGGAAGGAUGAUGCAGCGCCGCCGCGUGAGGGAUGGAGGCCUUAGGGUUGUGAACCUCUUUCGCAAGUGAAGCAGGCCUGCCUCGUUUGUGGGUGGGUUGACGGUAGCUGGAUAAGAAGCGACGGCUAACUACGUG
Molecule: ribosomal RNA, 494 nt
Filed under: uncultured bacterium
Lineage: Bacteria
Description: partial 16S ribosomal RNA
Rfam family: Bacterial small subunit ribosomal RNA
Source: RNAcentral